GCCUUCAGGGAAUAGAGCACAAGGAUUUAUCUGAGUCAUUAUUUCAAGAAGGCACGACAUUGCUCACAUUGCUUCCAGUGUAAAUCAGCUACAUGAGCAGUGGUGAACGUUUCUAAGUUAACGGGUACCAUUGUUCUUUUUUGCUGAGCGGCGCUUCUUUUAGAAGUCGCCGUUUUUUUU
RNAcentral lists this unclassified non-coding RNA (180 nucleotides) under Aliivibrio salmonicida LFI1238. Lineage: Bacteria; Pseudomonadati; Pseudomonadota; Gammaproteobacteria; Vibrionales; Vibrionaceae. The record is from RNAcentral.